UUGACGGGGCCGCACAAGCGGAGGAACAUGUGGUUAAUUCGUAUGAUACGCGAGGAACCUUACCUGGGCUUAAAUGCAGAGUGCAUGGAGUGGAAACACUUCUUCCCUUCGGGCUCUUUGCAAGGUGCUGCAUGGUUGUCGUCAGCUCGUGCCGUGAGGUGUCGGGUUAAGUCCCAUAACGAGCGCAACCCUUAUCGUUAGUUGCCAGCGGGUAAAGCCGGGAACUCUAGCGAAACUGCCGGUGUAAACCGAGAGGAAGGUGGGGAUGACGUCAAAUCAGCACGGCCCUUAUGUCCAGGGCUACACACGUGUUACAAUGGCCGGUACAGAGGGCAGCUACCUGGAGACAGGAUGCGAAUCUCGAAAGCCGGUCUCAGUUCGGAUCGGAGUCUGCAACUCGACUCCGUGAAGCUGGAUUCGCUAGUAAUCGUGGAUCAGAAUGUCACGGUGAAUACGUUCCCGGGUCUU
Molecule: ribosomal RNA, 468 nt
Filed under: uncultured Sphingobacteriales bacterium
Lineage: Bacteria; Pseudomonadati; Bacteroidota; Sphingobacteriia; Sphingobacteriales
Description: bacterial SSU rRNA
Rfam family: Bacterial small subunit ribosomal RNA
Source: RNAcentral